GAUGAACGCUGGCGGCGUGCCUAAUACAUGCAAGUCGAGCGAACAGACGAGGAGCUUGCUCCUCUGACGUUAGCGGCGGACGGGUGAGUAACACGUGGAUAACCUACCUAUAAGACUGGGAUAACUUCGGGAAACCGGAGCUAAUACCGGAUAAUAUAUUGAACCGCAUGGUUCAAUAGUGAAAGACGGUUUUGCUGUCACUUAUAGAUGGAUCCGCGCCGCAUUAGCUAGUUGGUAAGGUAACGGCUUACCAAGGCAACGAUGCGUAGCCGACCUGAGAGGAUGAUCAGCCACACUGGAACUGAGACACGGUCCAGACUCCUACGGGAGGCAGCAGUAGGGAAUCUUCCGCAAUGGGCGAAAGCCUGACGGAGCAACGCCGCGUGAGUGAUGAAGGUCUUCGGAUCGUAAAACUCUGUUAUUAGGGAAGAACAAAUGUGUAAGUAACUAUGCACGUCUUGACGGUACCUAAUCAGAAAGCCACGGCUAACUACGUG
This 497-nucleotide ribosomal RNA is filed under the name uncultured bacterium. RNAcentral's name for it is "partial 16S ribosomal RNA". It matches the Rfam family "Bacterial small subunit ribosomal RNA", at positions 28 to 507 of the family's 1533-position model. The record is from RNAcentral.